GAUGAACGCUGGCGGCGUGCCUAAUACAUGCAAGUCGAGCGAACAGACGAGGAGCUUGCUCCUCUGACGUUAGCGGCGGACGGGUGAGUAACACGUGGAUAACCUACCUAUAAGACUGGGAUAACUUCGGGAAACCGGAGCUAAUACCGGAUAAUAUAUUGAACCGCAUGGUUCAAUAGUGAAAGACGGUUUUGCUGUCACUUAUAGAUGGAUCCGCGCCGCAUUAGCUAGUUGGUAAGGUAACGGCUUACCAAGGCAACGAUGCGUAGCCGACCUGAGAGGGUGAUCGGCCACACUGGAACUGAGACACGGUCCAGACUCCUACGGGAAGCAACAGUAGGGAAUCUUCCGCAAUGGGCGAAAGCCUGACGGAGCAACGCCGCGUGAGUGAUGAAGGUCUUCGGAUCGUAAAACUCUGUUAUUAGGGAAGAACAAAUGUGUAAGUAACUAUGCACGUCUUGACGGUACCUAAUCAGAAAGCCACGGCUAACUACGUG
RNAcentral lists this ribosomal RNA (497 nucleotides) under uncultured bacterium. RNAcentral describes it as "partial 16S ribosomal RNA". It matches the Rfam family "Bacterial small subunit ribosomal RNA", at positions 28 to 507 of the family's 1533-position model. The record is from RNAcentral.